This 74-nucleotide transfer RNA is filed under the name bacterium. RNAcentral's name for it is "tRNA-Ile". It matches the Rfam family "tRNA". Rfam says of the family: Transfer RNA (tRNA) molecules are approximately 80 nucleotides in length. Their secondary structure includes four short double-helical elements and three loops (D, anti-codon, and T loops). Further hydrogen bonds mediate the characteristic L-shaped molecular structure. tRNAs have two regions of fundamental functional importance: the anti-codon, which is responsible for specific mRNA codon recognition, and the 3' end, to which the tRNAs corresponding amino acid is attached (by aminoacyl-tRNA synthetases). tRNAs cope with the degeneracy of the genetic code in two manners: having more than one tRNA (with a specific anti-codon) for a particular amino acid; and 'wobble' base-pairing, i.e. permitting non-standard base-pairing at the 3rd anti-codon position. The record is from RNAcentral. RNAcentral also lists the same sequence under 7 other names.
GGGUCUGUAGCUCAGCUGGUUAGAGCGCUCGCCUGAUAAGCGGGAGGUCCCUGGUUCGAGUCCAGGCAGGCCCA